AAAAAGCAGAGACGGAAGUUUCUAGAAUCCAUUAAUGCUGCUGUUGUUUUUGCCCAAUCAACAAAAUGACUUUUCAUCGCCUUGUCACUUCAGCUUUCCUUUCUUCUUCAAGACGCAUACACACUCUCGAGGGAACAUUAAUUUCAACCUUUCCUUACCAGCCCUCAUUCAGAUUUACCCCAUUUCAUCUUCUACCUUCCUGAUCAAUCCGACUCUCCCUCUCUAUCCCUUUCCUCUUGAUCUUCUGCAUAUUCAGGGACUCCCCCAACCAGGUACACUAUUACUUUAUCCUUCAUCGUUUCUUUUGCUAUCGUAUGCGCAAGACUGUUAACUGCUCCUGGGACAUAUUCAAAUCUUCAUUCCUUGAGUUUUGAUAGUAGCUUAUGAAUAUCGCUAAUGUAGGCACAUACCUGUGAUUUAUCUGGGAUACUUGACUUGCACUUUUUUAUUAUCGAUAAUGAGUCUCCUUCGAUAAUAAUUUUUUCCCAUUUCCUUUCUAUGUCGAUUUUGGUCGCUUUCCGGCAUGCGAGCGCCUCAGCCGCAAAGGCUGAUGUAAAAUUUGUGUAUUCUUAUUUUUCCUUUUCUUAUUGCUUUGCGAUUAUUCUGGUACCAUUAUCGUCUUCUAUUAUAACAAUUAACAUUGUUAAUAUUUUGGUUAAAAUAUUGACUUAAAUUUUUCUUCAAAACAUCACUUCCUGCAAGAGGUGAUGCUAGGGGCACCUAAAGGCUUUCGCACUAAAAAUGGUAAAUUUAUAGUUUAGCCUUUCUAAAGAUGAUAAAAUUAUAUUUCAUCCUCUCUUUAAAAAUUAUAAUUCAAUUCUAAUUUUUUCAAAAAUAUUUUGACUUUGCCCCCCAUUCGGACACACAAAACCCAUGUAAGCCUGAUGAGUUGAAAAGC
RNAcentral lists this long non-coding RNA (898 nucleotides) under Gossypium raimondii (Peruvian cotton). Its description in RNAcentral is "long non-coding RNA (GRAI_LNC010172)". Lineage: Eukaryota; Viridiplantae; Streptophyta; Magnoliopsida; Malvales; Malvaceae. The record is from RNAcentral.